This 253-nucleotide ribosomal RNA is filed under the name uncultured bacterium. RNAcentral's name for it is "partial 16S ribosomal RNA". It matches the Rfam family "Bacterial small subunit ribosomal RNA", at positions 524 to 776 of the family's 1533-position model. The record is from RNAcentral.
UACGAGAGGCCCAAACAUUAUUCGGAAUUACUGGGCUUAAAGAGUUCGUAGGCGGCAUGGAAAGUAGGGUGUGAAAUCCCUCGGCUCAACCGAGGAAUUGCGCUCUAAACUGCCGUGCUGGAGGAAGCUAGAGGUGAGCGGAACUGAUGGUGGAGCGGUGAAAUGCGUUGAUAUCAUCAGGAACACCGGAGGCGAAGGCGGCUCACUGGGGCUUUUCUAACGCUGAGGAACGAAAGCCAGGGUAGCGAACGGG